This is a long non-coding RNA of Carya illinoinensis, 3100 nucleotides long. RefSeq lists it as uncharacterized. The record is from RefSeq and is a predicted model, not a curated record. Lineage: Eukaryota; Viridiplantae; Streptophyta; Magnoliopsida; Fagales; Juglandaceae. The transcript is spliced from 2 exons.
AUAGAUGGAAGGUGUUGAGGGCUUGGGACGUCAUCUAUUUGGUGAACUAUAGACAUUGAUUAUAUUUCUGGUCAAAUGCUUAGAUGGUUUCCUGUACGGUAUAAUAUAAAGAAAAACGCUAUGGACAACUGCCUCGCGUCCCUGCCACGGCCUCGCGUCCACGUGGAAAAAAAAGACGUCGUUUCUUUACCACUUAAUUCCCUCCCCCCUUUCCUUCAUUUCCCCCUUCCCCCAUUCGAAACCUUCGUCUUCGAUUCACAAAUUCCAUCUUCCUCUCCGAAAUCGACCCCCCCACCUUCCUCUCCGAAAUCAAACCACGAAUCUGACGACGCAGUCCUCCCAUUUCUUGCUUUCUGUUGCAUGCAUGGUUGACAUAUAUUUCAGGUGCGUGCGUAUUUGGUAUUAAUAGUCGGUCAUCAACUCAGAAAAAAGUACAUCUUAUUCUCACCUCAUGUAUAAUCUCCGAUUACCUAGGCUUCUUGGACCCUUCAGUCAAACCCGACCAAACCAGAGUUUGAAUAUAGGAGCAGACUGAUAAUGAAACUGGACGAUGAUUUGGGGCGGGACCGGGGGGAUGAUUUCCAAACCGAUGAUGACGAAAAUGAGGCUGAAUUGGUUUAUGGGGAUGAAGAAAAAGGCUAUGGACAACCGAAAUAGUCAGAUAAUCUCUGGCUUUAGAUCUCCCUCUCUGGCUUCUUUCUCACAAAAUGCUCAGAUGUUCUUCAAAUCGUGCUUUCCAUUCGCUUUCUCUAUUGUUUAUUUUUAAUAUAAUAAUAUCGGCUAACGGAGCCGAGGCCGCAAUAGGGUUCUAGGGACGGUUGUCCCUAGCAGAACUGUAAUAUAAAUUGCCCCCAUGGUUUGCUGUAUAUUGUUAAAUGGAGUUUUUCUCAAAAAAAAAAAAAAGUAUAUUGUUAAAUGGAAGAGUUCCAUAUUUACACUGAUUUCGGUCUUGAAUGCUUGCUAGUAACUCCCGCAUUUGUAUUGUUUUCAAUCUGUGAAUAUUUGCUGGAUAUAUAAACAUUUGCACCAUUUUCAGCUUGUUAAUGCUUGCUAGAGUUUUUCACAUUUACAUUGUUUUAAGUCUAUGAAAGCUUGUUGGAAUCUCCCAUCUAUGCUUUGUUUUUCAGUCUAUAAAUGCUUCCUGAAAAUUGUAUGUUUUCUCCAUGUUUUUGUUGGAACUUUUUUGUUUUUUCUCUAUUCUUGCUGAACAGAUUUUCAGUAUGUAAAUGCCUGCUGGAACUUGUUAUGUUCUCUCUAAUGUAAGAAAUACUACUACCAUUCUUAGUAUUGUUAUUUGUUAUAUAAAGAUCACACUUACCAUAACCUUACCCUUUGAACCUCAAACCUAUAAAGAAGCAGUGAGGGACUAGAAAUGGAUUGAUGCUAUGCAAGCUGAAUACAAUGCUCUACUAGCUAAUCAAACUUGGACUUUAUGUCCUCGACCUUCUCAUAAACAAGUUGUGAGAAAUAAGUGGGUGUUUAACAUUAAACAAAAAUCAGAUUGGAGUAUUGAUCGAUACAAGGCUAGAUUAGUGGCAAAAGGCUUUGAUCAAAUUGAUGGGGUUGACUUUACUGAGACCUUUAGCCCUGUUAUAAAACUAGCUACAAUCAGACUAGUGUUGGCUCUAGUUGUGCACCAUGUCUGGUUUAUUCGUCAACUUGACAUCUCUAAUGCAUUUCUCCAUAGUUAUCUUGAAGAAGAAGUUUAUAUGGAGCAGCUUCAAGGGUUUGAAGAUCCUCAUCUUUCUGACCAUGUAUGUUGAACAAGUCCAUCUAUGGACUUAAACAAACUCCUCGAGCUUGGCUCUUGAGACUGUCACAAGCACUACUAGCUCCCUAUUUACUUUUCAUCACAACAACAUCGCAGUCUUUGUGCUUAUUUAUGUUGAUGACAUAAUUGUUACAAGCAAUUCUUCCUCCUCUAUCGAUGCUUUGAUUACUAAUCUUGGUUGUGACUUUGCUGUUAAAGAUCUUGGUCCACUCUCUUAUUUUUUGGGAAUUCAAGUCACACAGACCUCUGAUGGCUUACAUCUCAAUCAAGGAAAAUAUUUAACUGAUUUAGCGCAUCGCAUCAAAAUGGCUGGUGCUAAACUAGCUCCUACACCUUGCAACUCAGCUGCAAUACUCUCCACAUUUUCAGGUGAUCCAUUAUCUGAUCCUACUGAAUAUUGUAGCUUAGUGGGAGCUCUCCAAUAUUCGACUCUCACAAGGCCAGAUCUAUCCUUUAGUGUGAAUCAAUUAUGUCAAUUCCUCCACUGUCCCACUACAUAUCAUCUUGUUGCUGCCAAAUGAGUAUUGACGUAUCUUGAGGGGACAUUACAGUUUGGUCUCCAGUUCAGCAAAGGCACACUUCAACUUAAUGGUUUUUGUGACUCUGAUUGGGCGGACUGUCUUGAUGACAAGAAAUCCACCUCUGGCUACUGCAUAUAUCUUGGACCCUAUCUCAUAUCUUGGUCUGCUAAGAAGCAACCAGUUGUAGCAAGAUCAAGUAUAAAAGCCGAAUACAAAUCUAUGGCUUUUACAGUGGCUAAAUUAUACUAGAUUAGAAUGCUAUUUCAGGAAUGUCAUAUUCCACUCAUAGAUGUUCCCUGCCUCUGAGUGGAUAACGUUGGUGCUUUGGCUCUUUCUUCUAAUCCAAUUUUCCAUGCUCGCACUAAGCACAUCGAGGUGGACUAUCACUUUAUUUGGGAAAAGGUUUUCAACAAGGAUAUUCAAGCUAAAAAUAUCUCUACUACUGCUCAACCUUCUGAUAUAUUCACUAAGGGCCUAACUUCAUCACACUUCCUAUUUCUUCGUGACAAGCUAAUGGUUCGUGACCUUCCCAUCACCUUGAAGGGGGAUGUUAAAGAUAUAUGUCCCGAGAAGUUUGCUAACAAAUUGUCUAAUGAGGAUAAGCUUAAGAAAUAUUAAAUUGCUGCUGUUACAUAGCUUAUCCUCCCUUAUCUUCUAUUGUUCAUUCAUAUAGUUAGUUACAUGUAGCUAACUACAUUUUGUAAUUCUAUGCUCAUCUGUAAGUUGUAAUUUAAACUUCGUAAUCCUCUCUAUAUAUACAAUCAAUACGAGAUGCCUGGUAUCAAUUGAACCAGCUUUAUUGUACGAA